Molecule: long non-coding RNA, 791 nt
Organism: Dendroctonus ponderosae (mountain pine beetle)
Lineage: Eukaryota; Metazoa; Arthropoda; Insecta; Coleoptera; Curculionidae
Exons: 2
Source: RefSeq, a predicted model, not a curated record
UAACGUAAAACGUGUUGCAAUUAAGGGGCCUAAAAACUCCCCUAUUAUAAAUAAGAACAUUUCGAAUUUUGUCUGUGGAAUGUUUGAUAACAUGUGGUUAAGAUAAUAGUGAAGACAGAGACAAUGAAGUGAGUAGUCUGGGGACCGAUGGGGGCGCUGGCAGUUGUAAACAAAUAUGGAGGCAAUUAGGUAACCUCGCGAAUAGAGCAGUUGAACACAUUGUUAGCGGCAAGAAUUAAUUAUUUGUAAAAUUUAUCCGAUAACUCUGCCAAAAGAACCCGAGCCUGAGCAAUGAUCGUCGUUAGUAAAUAGACUUGAUGGUCAUAAACCUGAUAAACCCGAAAAUAAAUCGGGUUUCGUUUGCUCAAAGUGAAUAAAUUAAUCAAAUGCGAUAAGCAAACCUUCAUACGGUUAUUGGGUUUUAAGCUUGUAAGUCGCCUUAUACUUUCUCUGUUGUAAAAACAGUAAUUGAAUGCUCUUUCAUGUCUUAUUAUCUAUAUUACAGGAUAAAUUCUGUUCAUACGCCAUCAUAUUGGUCGUAAACAGGCCUGGGUAACACUGAGUUGGUGCCGCUUUCUGAGCCGCCUUAAAAUAAAUAAAUCUAAAAACAACUGCGCCGGUGCGUUGGGUUGGCGCACCAAGCCAUUUGCGCAGCACUGCGCCAACUCCUAAAAAUUCAGUGAGUCACCCAGGCCUAGUCACAAUAUAUCUGCCCUAAUGUGAACACGGUUGCGUCUACUUUACAUAUGUGAUUUAUUUUACUAAUAUAAUACAAUUUUCAUAUAUUAUAA